RNAcentral lists this ribosomal RNA (253 nucleotides) under uncultured Bellilinea sp. RNAcentral describes it as "partial 16S ribosomal RNA". It matches the Rfam family "Bacterial small subunit ribosomal RNA", at positions 524 to 776 of the family's 1533-position model. The record is from RNAcentral. Lineage: Bacteria; Bacillati; Chloroflexota; Anaerolineae; Anaerolineales; Anaerolineaceae.
GACGUAGGAGCCAAGCGUUAUCCGAAUUCACUGGGCGUAAAGCGCGUGCAGGCGGCUCGAUAAGUUGGAUGUGAAAGCUCCCGGCUCAACUGGGAGAGGCCGUUCAAUACUGUCGGGCUAGAGGGCGGCAGAGGGAGGUGGAAUUCCCGGUGUAGUGGUGAAAUGCGUAGAUAUCGGGAGGAACACCAGUGGCGAAGGCGGCCUUCUGGGCCGUACCUGACGCUCAGACGCGACAGCUAGGGGAGCGAACGGG